RNAcentral lists this ribosomal RNA (425 nucleotides) under uncultured bacterium. Its description in RNAcentral is "partial 16S ribosomal RNA". It matches the Rfam family "Bacterial small subunit ribosomal RNA", at positions 354 to 796 of the family's 1533-position model. The record is from RNAcentral.
GUGGGGAAUAUUGGACAAUGGGCGCAAGCCUGAUCCAGCCAUGCCGCGUGAGUGAUGAAGGCCUUAGGGUUGUAAAGCUCUUUCAGUGGGGACGAUAAUGACGGUACCAGCAGAAGAAGCCCCGGCUAACUCCGUGCCAGCAGCCGCGGUAAUACGGAGGGGGCUAGCGUUGUUCGGAAUUACUGGGCGUAAAGCGCACGUAGGCGGAUUGGAAAGUUGGGGGUGAAAUCCCGGGGCUCAACCCCGGAACUGCCUUCAAAACUCCCAGUCUUGAGGUCGAGAGAGGUGAGUGGAAUUCCGAGUGUAGAGGUGAAAUUCGUAGAUAUUCGGAGGAACACCAGUGGCGAAGGCGGCUCACUGGCUCGAUACUGACGCUGAGGUGCGAAAGCGUGGGGAGCAAACAGGAUUAGAAACCCGGGUAGUCC